RNAcentral lists this ribosomal RNA (253 nucleotides) under uncultured bacterium. RNAcentral's name for it is "partial 16S ribosomal RNA". It matches the Rfam family "Bacterial small subunit ribosomal RNA", at positions 524 to 776 of the family's 1533-position model. The record is from RNAcentral.
UACGGAGGGUGCGAGCGUUGUCCGGAAUCACUGGGCGUAAAGGGCGCGUAGGCGGCCGCGUAAGUCACUUGUGAAAUCCCGGGGCUCAACUCCGGGGCCGCAGGUGAGACUGCGUGGCUAGAGCACGGUAGAGGCGAGUGGAAUUCCCGGUGUAGCGGUGGAAUGCGUAGAUAUCGGGAAGAACACCGGUGGCGAAGGCGGCUCGCUGGGCCGUUGCUGACGCUGAGACGCGAAAGCUAGGGGAGCGAACAGG